RNAcentral lists this ribosomal RNA (35 nucleotides) under Zelkova serrata. Its description in RNAcentral is "partial 25S ribosomal RNA". The record is from RNAcentral. Lineage: Eukaryota; Viridiplantae; Streptophyta; Magnoliopsida; Rosales; Ulmaceae.
GCGAACCCCAGGCAAGGGGGGCUACCCCCUGAAUU